GUGAAUAUUAAUCAACGGCAAUAAAUGCCAUUUAUUCAGGAUUGUGAUUCCUGUUGUCGUGGGUUCGAGCCCCAUCGUCCACCCCA
RNAcentral lists this transfer RNA (86 nucleotides) under Affinundibacterium flavidum. RNAcentral describes it as "tRNA-His". The record is from RNAcentral. Lineage: Bacteria; Pseudomonadati; Pseudomonadota; Betaproteobacteria; Burkholderiales; Oxalobacteraceae.